This 409-nucleotide long non-coding RNA is filed under the name Nicotiana benthamiana. Its description in RNAcentral is "long non-coding RNA (NBEN_LNC038725)". Lineage: Eukaryota; Viridiplantae; Streptophyta; Magnoliopsida; Solanales; Solanaceae. The record is from RNAcentral.
GGCUCCUCCUCCUAAGAAAGUUGUUGCAGCUUCAGCUAAGAAUGGUGUAGCUGCUAAGAAGGAUGAGUCAAGUGAUGAUUCUAGUUCAGAGGAUGAUAGCAGCUCUGAGGAAGAUGUACCUGCAGCCAAGAAACCUGCUAAUGGCUCUGCUGCAGUUUCUAAGAAAGAUGAGUCUAGUUCAGAAGAUGAUAGCAGCUCUGAGGAAGAUGUACCUGCAGCCAAGAAACCUGCUGCUAAUGGCUCUGCUGCAGUUUCUAAGAAAGAUGAGUCAAGUGAUGAGUCUAGUUCUGAAGAUGAUAGCAGCUCUGAGGAUGAUGCUGUUGCUAAGAAGAAGGCUGCACCUAAAAAGGGUCUUGCUGCUUCCGCCAAGAAGGAAGAAUCCAGUGAUGACUCCAGUUCAGAUGAUGAU